Molecule: small nucleolar RNA, 106 nt
Organism: Gossypium raimondii (Peruvian cotton)
Lineage: Eukaryota; Viridiplantae; Streptophyta; Magnoliopsida; Malvales; Malvaceae
Rfam family: Plant small nucleolar RNA R71
About the family: R71 is a member of the C/D box family of snoRNAs containing the C (UGAUGA) and D (CUGA) box motifs. Multiple nearly identical copies of this snoRNA have been identified in Arabidopsis, and it is thought to function as a 2'-O-ribose methylation guide for 18S ribosomal RNA.
Source: Rfam
AGACCAUGGUGUGGGCAUCUUUGUAUUAGUGACUUAAAACACUCCCAAGCUUCGUGAAAAUUUUCUCCUUCCAACAUUUAAACAUUGCAAUCUCUCUCCUUAGUUG